Molecule: ribosomal RNA, 520 nt
Filed under: Chrysaora quinquecirrha
Lineage: Eukaryota; Metazoa; Cnidaria; Scyphozoa; Semaeostomeae; Pelagiidae
Description: bacterial SSU rRNA
Rfam family: Eukaryotic small subunit ribosomal RNA
Source: RNAcentral
AACCUGGUUGAUCCUGCCAGUAGUCAUAUGCUUGUCUCAAAGAUUAAGCCAUGCAUGUCUAAGUAUAAGCACUUGUACUGUGAAACUGCGAAUGGCUCAUUAAAUCAGUUAUCGUUUAUUUGAUUGUACCUUACUACAUGGAUAACCGUGGUAAUUCUAGAGCUAAUACAUGCGAAAAGUCCCGACUUCUGGAAGGGAUGUAUUUAUUAGACUAAAAACCAAUACGGGUGCUUCGGUGCCCGUUCAUGUGGUGAUUCAUGAUAACUUCUCGAAUCGCAUGGCCUUGUGCCGGCGAUGUUUCAUUCAAAUUUCUGCCCUAUCAACUGUCGAUGGUAAGGUAGUGAUAAAGUAGAUAAAGUAGUCGCUACUACCGAUUGAAUGGUCUAGCGAGACCUUCGGAUUGGCACUGCUCCGGCCGGCAACGGCUGAGGUGGAACGCCGAGAAGUCGUUCAAGUUCGAUCAUUUAGAGGAAGUAAAAGUCGUAACAAGGUUUACCGUAGGUGAACCUGCAGAAGGAUC